CUGUAUUUUGGCCAGUUUUCGUAGUGGCCACUCUUGCUGCCAUUGUUCGAAGUCAAGCAGUGAUUUCGGCUACCUUUUCCAUUGUAAGCCAGUGUUGCGCACUUAAUUGUUUUCCUCCGGUUAAGAUUGUUCAUACUUCAAGCAGAAUACAUGGACAGAUUUAUGCCCCAGAAGUCAAUUGGAUAUUAAUGUGCCUUUGUUUAGCUGUCACAAUUGGCCUAAGGGAUAUUGACAUGAUGGGUCAUGCAUGUGGUACACUUCUUUUUCACUAUGUUUACCUAUGAUAUUUUAAUUAUUGACAAGUGCUAACUAUUUUGCUUGGUCUGUAGGGCUGGCCACCACCACUAUUAUGUUUGUGACAACAUGCUUGAUGACACUAGUAAUGGUGAUUGUUUGGAAGCAAAAAAUAAUUAAAGCCAUUAUAUGAAUUUUAAAUUGCACUUCAAAAGAAUUAUGAAUUUGCCUGUGUUUAUUUUAAUAUGGGUCAUAAUAAAAAGAGGGAUAAAAAGAGAGAAAAUCAUAAAUAAAUCAAAUAAUUAGGAAUAAGGAAAGGGAUAAAAAAUAUCAUUAAAAUAAUUAUGUUUACUAUUUUGCAUGGGACAUCAUUAAUUUUGUGCUUUUAUAGUUGCUACGGAAGCUGAUUGUGUUUACUACAUGAUCAUUUUGAACAUGUAGUUUGUCCCUCGUGUUUGCUAAUUUAUUUACCUGGUAACUUUUGGUUUCUAGAAUCUUGAAACUAAUGGAUUUUGGGUGUAAGUUGCAGCUUGUUGUUACCAUAACCCAUCAGAGUCAUCUAUGUCCACUUCCUCUGACUGUACAACCCAUCACCUGGAAUUAUGACCAUUGUCUUUAUCUUUAUCCAACUCCACACACGAUAGUUUUGGGUGAUAGAAGUCAGUAGAAUGCAUUCAAGUACACAGGAAUCACUUGUUUUAAUACAGGUUCAUAUGCUACGGUGACAAGAAGCAUUACAAAGAAUCCCAACUCUAAUCUUGAAAAGCUCCAAAUUCUUAUAGCUUCAAAGGGAAAGUCAUUGUCACAGACUGUAGUCAAUGCUCUUAUGCAAAAGAGAAAUGCCCUGAUGGGCCUCUUCUUCUAGAAGAGGUGGUAUGAUUGUUUUAAGGAAAGUUGCAAUUCCAAAACCUAUCAACUUACCCAGUUAGAGAUGUUUUUGAGGCAUGUUCUUAAAGUACACUCUUUUUAAAAAUGAAGUUGAAGGAUGUUGUAUCUAAACUAUUUGAACUUUGGAAUUUGAUGGACUCAUGAAAAGAAGAGAGAAACUAUUUUAUGAAGAUUACUUCUAUUGUUGGAAUCUCAGAAUCAGAAAUCACUAAACGAGGUGUUCUUUCAACAGAAAUGAUAGAGAAGGUCUGGAAGCUUCUUUCAGUUCCCUCACCCUUUAUUGUUUUUUUCAUUCUUUGCAAUUUAUUCAAUGGAGAUGGAGCUCCUGGAUUGAAGAUUCCUUUUUCAGGGAUCAAUAUUAUUUAUUUAUUUAUGCAGAUGUUUUUGAGGCAUGUUCUUAAAGUACACUCUUUUUAAAAAUGAAGUUGAAAGAUGUUGUAUCUAAACUAUUUGAACUUUGGAAUUUGAUGGACUCAUGAAAAGAAGAGAGAAACUAUUUUAUGAAGAUUACUUCUAUUGUUGGAAUCGCAGAAUCAGAAAUCACUGAACGAGGUGUUCUUUCAACAGAAAUGAUAGAGAAGAUGUUUUUUAGGCAUAUUCUUAAAGUACACUCUUUUUAAAAAUGAAGUUGAAGGAUGUUGUAUCUAAACUAUUUGAACUUUGGAAUUUGAUGGACUCAUGAAAAGAAGAGAGAAACUAUUUUAUGAAGAUUACUUCUAUUGUUGGAAUCUCAGAAUCAGAAAUCACUGAACGAGGUGUUCUUUCAACAGAAAUGAUAGAGAAGGCUUUUGCAGAAGUGGACAGGCUUGCCAAACUAAAAGCAAGCAGAAUGAAAGAACUUGUUUUUAAGAAGAGGUCAAAGUUAGAGGAAAUAUGUAAAUUGACUCAUAUUGAACCAGAUACAAGUACUGCAGCCGAGAAAGCUAGUGCAUUAAUAGAUUUCGGUUUGUUCCUGUGCAUUAAUAGAUUAUUUACCUAUAACUACCU
This is a long non-coding RNA of Glycine soja, 2109 nucleotides long. RefSeq lists it as uncharacterized. Lineage: Eukaryota; Viridiplantae; Streptophyta; Magnoliopsida; Fabales; Fabaceae. The transcript has 6 exons. The record is from RefSeq and is a predicted model, not a curated record.